RNAcentral lists this long non-coding RNA (804 nucleotides) under Cricetulus griseus (Chinese hamster). RNAcentral describes it as "lncRNA (ENSCGRG00015034858.1)". Lineage: Eukaryota; Metazoa; Chordata; Mammalia; Rodentia; Cricetidae. The record is from RNAcentral.
GUAAACCUGCCGCCACAGCCUGCCCUGUCGGGCCGCUGAGCUGCAUGGCAGCAGCUUCCAUAUGCUCCCGCCGUCCCGGCGCUUGCUUCUGGGGUUUAGACUCGGCACUUCUGAGAUAAUAAAGACAGAUCCAGAUAAAGAAAAACCUCUAAAGAAAAUCAAAAGCUGUGAUUCCUUCCAGACUAAUAUGGUUUGAUCAAGCAAGACCCCCUGAAGCUGAGAUGAUACAGCCUUACAGACUAUAAAAACAAGGACUUGGUCAGGUUUCUAUGUUUUAUCAUGAUCCUAAUGGUAUAUGAACAUCGCCCCCAAUCAGCAGGAAGCAGUUUAGAAAGAACGACGCCCAUAUUCCCAAGUAUUGUUUAUAAAUGUUUUUUUCAUUUAAAUGAGGUUAGUUAUAAAUGAUAAUGAGCAUAGUCAAUCUCUUUUUAAAGAAAGAAAAGGGGAAUAGGAUAUAGGAAUGAAUACUUUAAAUUGGUAAAGAUUUUCAUUUAUUGAUACAACUUUAAGGUCAGUUUUGUGAUAUGUAUAUGUCUACUCUUGUUUAGGUAUUGUGUUUAUACAGAUCUUUUACCUAUAAUAGUCAGAACUUAUAAUUAGGUUAGUUAGGUUUUCUAGAUAUAGAGAUGUAUUUGAGAUGGUUAGGUAUUCUUCAAACCUUUCAAAGACCUACAGAAAUAUGGCAUUUAAAUGGUUUAGGGUUUUUCUUGGCAGUGAGACACAACUGCUCCUGGCACACCAAUUAUGUCAGAAAGGAGGAUGGGCAUCAAAGAAACUCGUUAUGGAGUUUGCUUUCAACAUGGC